UCCUCCAGUCUCCCGCAGCCGAGCUGCCUCCUGCUGUACGCUCGGCAUUACGAAACCCCGUAAGAUGGAGCACAGAUGAUGUCUCGUGUGUAUUUCCCAACCGCUCUGACAGGAUACAGGCCAAAGUAUUUCAAAUCCUCAGCUUUUACAUGUUGUAUUAGUUACUCUCAUCAUUGCUAGGAUCAAACACUUAACAAUGAGCAACUUGAGGAAGAAACGGACAGUUUAUUUUGGCCAACAGUUCAAAGGGAUACAGAGCCUCGUGGCAGCGGGUCACAUGGCGUUCGCCGCCAGCGAAUGGAGAGCAGACCGGAAGUGAGGCCAGACUACCCAACCGCAAGGCCCACCCCUGUCAAUCACUUCCUCUAGCGAGGCUCCACUGGCUAAGUCAGGGCCAGCAAGUGGGGACCAGAUGUUCAAGCCCACGAAUCAAGGAGGACAUCUGGCCCCCAAACCACAGCAGUGGUAAACAAGACCACAAUUCAAAAGGGUGAAAGUGAAAAGGUUAUCGAUGAUGGUCCGAAAUCCCACCAAUAAGGAGGAAAUCUCACUAACAAAAACUCAAGCACAUGGCAGCGAUCAUCUAUAAGGCUGUGCUUACCAGGAAGCUGUAGAAGAACUCGUGGACGAAGAGGCCAAGCAUGCAAACCAAGACAUAGGCCACGUGGUAAAGAAAGGCCAUGUCCAGAAUGACUGCUCGGUACCCUCGGGUGAAUGUGCCUCGGUUUCCCACAAAACUCACCAGGAACACGAUUUUAUUGCAUAGCUAAACGGGGGAGAAAGUAGGAUUUUAGUGCUUGAAGCUCAACUAUAGAAGGAGACACUGUGAAAGGCGAGUGUUCCCAAGUCUUCGGUUUCCUUUCUCUGUGACCUCUUGUGUUGGUUUUCAGGUAGUCCACAAGCACACAUAUAAACAGUCACACACAGAACUGGUUCCCUUGAGGCUCUCAGGGCAGAGAAUGCCACCAACACAGACUGAGUAUGAAUCCGGAUCUUCCUUAUUCCUGGAUUACCUAGUUUUCCCCAUGGGAAACCCAACAGUUUCUGAAAAACUGCCAUCAAAGGUCUCAGCUCACAGAGCCCCUCUGAGGCCUAGAUAACACCAAACAUUCACAGUGAUUAUUGUCAUGACUCCUUUUCAAACACUCCUUGGAUAUUUAUGACCACAUCUCUAUAGUUAUGCCUUUUGAAAACAGGUUGGUUUUGCAACACUGAUUUUAUAUACACUAUAUACAUGCACACAUUUACAUCUUCUCAAACUUGAGAGAGUAUGAAAUCUUUUCCAUCCAUGUCCUGAAGUCUGAAUCAAUGCAGAUAAGAUGAAAAACUGGUAAUUAUUGCAUGUCCUGAUGGUCCAAUCAGACCAACAACAUAGCCACUAUAGGCAGAAUCUUUCCUACAUUCCCCAGAUAACUGUCUACCCUCUCAGUAAUCAGUACUAAUGUCAAUAACCAAUCAUCUCGAACCCCUUUCACCUUCUUGACAACAGCUUCAGAAGAAGUCAAGCGGAAGCCUUGUUUUACUGGUCAGCCAUUUAUGUUCUCACUCAGUAGAGCUGAGGCACGAUGGAGACUUCACAAUGACUGCUCAAGAGCGAGUCGGAUACUAGAGAAAACUGCUGAAAAAGCAAUGGAUCCAGGAUGUGGUCAGAAAAAGCAAAUUUCAGCUCUUCCUCUGAACAGCUUUUGGGUGACCCUGGUCAAAUUUACACAACUGCAUCAACUCACACACCCUGGUCCAUCAGAGUGAUACAGAAAGGGGUUCUACGAAAAUAGAACUAAAAAUCAUCUCUUCACAAGGAUAAAUGAUAUGACACAGACAGUUUGUGUGUCAUUUCCCAACUCUCUAAGAUGAGUUACAAAAAUAUUCAGGAAACCUAUUUGUAGACUGGACACACUGGGGAGAAACAGGUUGAACUAAAUCCUCAAAAUGGUCAAUACACUUUAGUUAGAUAAAGUAAAGGGCAGGGUGCAUUUAUGCCCGAAUGACCCUUGACCCAUAGCUGGGUGCAUAUGGUUUUGUUCACUAGAAACAUCUGGAAGUGAGGUAGGGUUGACAGGAGCAGUGGCCUCUAAGUGUUCACAUAGAGUUUGGAGAUGGGCGCCAUCCUUCUGUUUAAGACAUUCAUCAAGGACAAACGAAAGGAAGGAUAAUAAUAUAUGCGUGUGUGUGUGUGUGUGUGUGUGUGUGUGUGUGUGUGUGUGUGUGUGUAUGGAAGGACUGGAAUCUUGCUUUGUAUGACAUGAAGAAAUUUGUAAUUUUUUUUAUGUAGCACUUUCCAUGAGAGCUGGGGCUGUUUAUGGAGGAACAACAAGCUGCAAACACACACUCCCUGUUCGUGUCAUCACUUCACUGACAACAGUUAACCAGACCUUCUGUGUGGCUCCCUGAUACCAUGAUGCAGCCAGUCAAUUCUGUGCCAUGCAUGCCCAUGGGUCAUGAUAAGUGAUGGUGUGGAGACAUGGGUCAGGCCUUGAAACAGCAACACGAUGGCAUGCCACCAAUGCCCCACUCUUCCUUUUCCCAUUUAUCCCUCAGGGCUACAAAGUGUCACCUUUGGGGGUGACCUGAAUGAUAAUGAAGAGGAAGAAGGAUGGAGAAACAGUGCCACGGAUGCUCUCAGGGUCUUUCAAAAAUAGCACAUUAUCCAAACAGUUUACCUAGAGUCCUUGUCAUGGCAAAGAUAAAGUCAACGUUUGCUUGUGAGUUACUAUCUGGUAAAUGGUGAGCAUUGGGGGCAUCCAGAUAAAUAAACCACACAGUCAUGUAGUCUCCUCAUAUGUCCUCACAACCGGUGGACACAUCUUUACAGGAUUUUCCAGGGGUGUGACAAAGUGCAAAGAUGGGAGUCAUGUCAUCCAGGGCACUAACUUCAUUCAUGACACAACCCUCUGUUUCUAGGGGACUCUGUUCAUGUCUGUACAGAUGUGCCUAGAAGCUAGUCAUUAUUUAAGAUUUAUUUUAUUAUUUAUCCAUAUGGAUGUGUGCAGUGUCUUUGCAAGGCCGGAAGGGGAUGAUGGGUGCCUGGAGCUGGAGUUACAGACAGUUGUGAGCUGUAUGACUUUGGUGCUGGGAACUGACUGGGUCUUCUGAAGAGACAGCAAGUAUUCAUAAUGCUCAGUCAUGCCUCCAGCCCCAGAGCAAAUCCAUCUAAAGAUGUCUCCUGGCUCCAUAAUUUUCCUCCUUUUCUACUGUUUUAUGAACAUAGAAACUGAAAGUGGUCACCACCACUUGUGUUGGUAUCUGUGUUAUUUCUUUGGUCUCAUCCAGGACUCUGUCCCUGAUCAGAAUAUCUAAGUUGUUGCAAUGGGAAAACAUGACCUAUUUUCCAAGAAUAAAUUGUAAAGUGCUGAUGUUUUGAAAGGUAAAACUAAACUCACUGUCUCUAACAAUAUCACCAAGUUCUCAUCAACCAUGGAAAUCAACCCUUUUGCUGAAAAAUAAGAUGACUUAUUCCAUUAUCUCCAUGCCACUAGUGUUAGGACUUAGGCAGGAUAAAAUCUUAAGGUCACUGUAGAAAGCAAAAUUUACAUGCAGUCAAAUAUCACCCUGAACUGUCAGCAGGACAGUACAGUAAACACAGGCAGCGUGAACAGCACCGCUCACGAUAUUCAACUCAGCCUGGGAUAAGAUUUGUAUUUUGACAACUGUAUGCCAGAAAUAAUGACAUCCAGUGACCACAUUGAACAAAACAUUGUGUGUGCAUCUCAAAGGCAGAAUGUGAAAGGAAAGUUUCAGUUCAGAAUAUGUAGUGAGGCUUGUGUGUUUACUGAAUACAAAUUUGUCGUCCUACAAACUAACAGUGUGAUGCAGUCACCCAUAAAACUGCAGAUACACAGCUAAGAACACUGCUAAGCACUGUGGUAACUGUUAAUGACCUGGCGCUCGCUCUCUCUCUCUCUCUCUCUCUCUCUCUCUCUCUCUCUCUCUCUCUCUCUCUUUAAAAAAAAAAGCUCACUUGGUUUUCCUCUGUGCAAAUCAGGUAGAACAAAUUCUAGCAUUUUCACAUUAAAAUAACUAUGAGAAAGGCUACUGCCAUUAAGUGAACCAGAGUUUCCCAAUAUUAUUAGAAAGGGGAAAAAUACCAGAGGCAGUAGCCCUUUAGAUGAUGUUAAAAGAUAUUUCACGAGGACUUGGGGCAUGGCUCACUGGUAGAGCACUUGCCUUGUAUACUACCCAGGAUUCAGUUCCUAGCAUCAGAAGAAAAAUCUUUACUUAUAUUUACCGUUUUCCUCUUUCUUACAAAGAAUCUAAGGCGCAAAGAUAAAUGGAGUAGUUAAGGAUGAUAUAGCAUCCAUAUAAUGAAUCAGAAACCUCUUUAAUCAACAGGAAAUGCUAAAUCUGUAUAAAUGAGGUUUGCAAAACAUUUAAACGAUGUGAGCAAAUAUGAAGCACCCCAGGUUUAUGCAAUGACCCCUGUAGUUCUCAGAAUGUUAAUUUAUAUCAACAUUAGCCAAGAUUACCACACUGUGCAGGGGAAGAAAACUGUGUAAGAUAUAUACUGCAACAUUCAGAAUCGCUGAGACACAUGUGAUUGGAAAAUCUAACUGAAAUAUGGACAUAUUGCAGGCUCUGCAAAUGAAUUAAAUUUUAUCACAAUAAACUAAAAUCUGAUAAAUACUAAGGUCUUUCCUCUAUUACGAUCCUUUCCUCAAAGAAUUUUCAUAUUUGCUUAACACCAAGGGACAGUGUCUAGAAACAAGGUACCACAAGAGCUAAGAUGCAGACAUAUCAUGGUGGCAACACUUUGAUAUCUGAUUAGUGAUUUGCAUAUCAGAUACUCAGAUACAGUACUUGACAGACAUUAUCAUCAGUAUAUAAUAGUAACUGAUCUUUUCUGGAUCUUCCACACAAAGAUGUUCAACUGACCUCAGCAACCAGAGGAGGGUAGACCAGUUGUCCACACUAUACUUGCACUUAGAAGAAGAUGCAAUUAGAGAUUGGCUGCUGUUUGUCAUGGCCAAACUGUCAAGCUAAUGUUUUCUUUUGUGCUUUCUAGUCUUAUAUCUAUUAUUUUAGAAGUCACAGCCUCACCUGUUAUACAAUGCAAAGGUCUGUGUAAAAAUUAAAUUAUUAAUAUAUUAUUACCUAAGAUAUAAAUAUAAGAUUCAUGUUCUUACUUGAAUUUUCCUCUGUCAUAGUAAAGAUAAACCAAGAUACUUGUGUAAAGUAUUUAUGUGAAGAGGGAAAAUAGAUAGCAAUUCUCUAAAUUGAUUAUAUUAAUCUUAAUCUAUGUAAUACCAAAUACAAUUAUAAAUAUGUUUUUGUUGACAUCUGCAGUAGUAUUAAAUUUUAGUGACCUCAUUAAAUUUGCCUCAAGUCGACAUAGGUUAUUUUUUUUUGGUCAAAUGACCCCAGGGUAGUGGUAGUGUGUGCAUGAAUAACAUGCUUCAUGCUAUUGGGAUCUGGGAAGAUUCAUGGAGUUAGUAAGACAGACAUGUCUACAUGCUUAACACUUUUUCAUAAAGCUGUUAAUUAAGCACCUGGCUUUGGUAAAGAAUAUGUUUAUGGUGGAAUGAUUCUUACCAAAGCACAUGAAAGUUAUCACUUUAUACUGUCCUACAAGAGUUAGGGAAAGAACACCAGAUGUUUUUAGUUCUCCAUCAGCCCAAACAUUCAAACGUUAUUCCUCACCUUGGUUUACAUGUAUUCCAGAUGGCAAGCAGCACCCUUUUACCCCUUGGUGUUCUAAACAUCUACCGUAUCAUGUAAUAGGUGCAGCGAACAUUUGUUAUCUUGGGCACAACUCUGCCUGGCUCUUCCUUCACUUUCUUAAACUUAGAUAUUACUCACUUAGAUUAAUGCCUUACUGAAAGUCAAUGAUCACUUUACAGAUAACAUUCACUUCUUCAAAGACUAUAACUUCAUGCUCAACAUGCUUUCUAGAGAAGCAAAAUAAGCCUCAGACAGAGGUGUAGACAAAUUUAUACAUAUUCAUGAUGGUUCUCUGAUGAUGAUAACAUCAGCCUACAUUCAAAGCAAAGACAGUAAGCAGAAGCUCAGGUCAUGAGAUCGCUUCUGAAUGUUCCAAUGCCAAGGGUACGGUGAAGGAAGGUGGAGAUGGGAGUAAGCUGGAAGGAGUGACUUUCACAGCACCACUGAGCUGGGGAAGCACAGUAAACAGAUUCCAAAGAAACAUGGUCAGGGAUAACAAAGACUGCACUCAUGUGUUGGUGUGACAGGUCCAGUCUCCAUGAAACCCAGAGAAGGGUGUGUUUGGUACGCUUCUAAUCCUCUUCACUGCCAUAACAGAGAAUUUGGGGGGAGGUGUUGAAUAUUCUAACAUCUGGGAACUGUGGAAUGCUUCCAGCAUUUGAAGAAUUGUGAUAAAAGUCAAAGUCAGAAACGCUGAAAAAAAUAGAAUGGACUACGUUGCCUCAUCUUGAUAAUCCAAGUUGGUUAACUAAAUUAUUUUCAAUAAAUAUUGGCCAUUCAUUAAUUGAUUCAUUCAAAAAUAUUUAUAGACACUGUGAUAACCAAGGUAUAUAAUGAUCAACUAUCAUCCUCAAUAAAAAUAUGAGGUAGUAUAAUCCUAGCUAAAAUAUCAGGGCAUAGGAUUCUCAGGGAUGCAAUGAAGGUUAAAUGGAGUGCUUUGGGUAUUAAUCAGGUAGAUAUAACAAUAUUUAUGUGAUUUUUGACCAUUUGUCAUAUUAUCAAUUUGAUGAUUUAUCUUCUCUCCAUUUACAGAUGCACUUUGCAUAAAUUUGGCACAGAGCCCCUUCAAAGUUUUAUUUUUUUUGUUUAAAUUAUUUCAAACAAUCUCUCGUUUGCUUCUUGGCUUGAUACUUCCAGUCUGCUCAUUCUACCCUUACUGACCUAACAGCCCAAAGGCCUUCUCUUGUUCUAAUAUACUAGAUCUUGGUGGAAAAGAGAAGCAAUUUCACCCAUGCCUUUUAUAAGUUUAUAAGAUUUUCUCAUAUAAAAGGAGCCCAAUCUUUUUUUUUUUUUGGUUCUUUUUUUCGGAGCUGGGGACCGAACCCAGGGCCUUGCGCUUCCUAGGUAAGCGCUCUACCACUGAGCUAAAUCCCCAGCCCCAAGGAGCCCAAUCUUAUAUC
Rattus norvegicus (Norway rat) is the source of this 7055-nucleotide non-coding RNA. Lineage: Eukaryota; Metazoa; Chordata; Mammalia; Rodentia; Muridae. The record is from RefSeq and is a predicted model, not a curated record.